CAGUCGUACCUAUGGGUAAUCAGCCUUUUGGGUGUGAUUUUGUGGAGCGUGAGGAGUUAAACGCCUUCAUGCCUGCAUAUUCGUGCACUUUGGGUGUACUUGCCCGUGUGUAAGUUAACAUCAAUUUUGGUGGUCAUAAAACGGCUGGAGGAAUGUAGCUUCGAUCUUGUAUUGAAGUGUUAUAGCCUUCGGUAGAUGUGACGAUCGGGAUUGAGGAUUGCAACGGAUACCCUUGUGGCUGGUCACCUGGCUUCUGACGGUUACCCCGCUUUCGGCAGCUUGCUAACGUUAGUGGACUCGAUUGUCUAGAUGUCAGAUUGAUUCAUUUUUCGCUAGGAUGCUGACGU
RNAcentral lists this ribosomal RNA (347 nucleotides) under Rhizophagus irregularis. Lineage: Eukaryota; Fungi; Glomeromycota; Glomeromycetes; Glomerales; Glomeraceae. The record is from RNAcentral.